GGCUGGUCCAAGGGUCAUGAGUUAUCUCCAUUGAUUUGUUCACAGUAAGUUACAGAUCGAACUCCUUGCUCUACUCUUACCUCCUUCUCACUACUGCACUUGAUGACUCCUAA
Molecule: Y RNA, 113 nt
Filed under: Microcebus murinus (gray mouse lemur)
Lineage: Eukaryota; Metazoa; Chordata; Mammalia; Primates; Cheirogaleidae
Description: Y RNA (ENSMICG00000041497.1)
Rfam family: Y RNA
About the family: Y RNAs are components of the Ro ribonucleoprotein particle (Ro RNP), in association with Ro60 and La proteins. The Y RNAs and Ro60 and La proteins are well conserved, but the function of the Ro RNP is not known.
Source: Rfam by way of RNAcentral